GGUGGUCCCCACUUUCUGAUGUAAUAUAUUCCUGAAGACUGUUGUUUUAAAGUGGAUCACCAUAAGGCCCAAUUCUAACUCGGCAGGAGUUUGUGCUUUCAUCUGUUCAGAUCUAGUCGGAAAUGGAAGCUUCUGGAAUUCACCAGGACAAAUGAAGAAGGGCCUCAAGACAACUUUGGACUAGUAGCUGUGAUCAAAGUUAAUCUUUCCUGUAGCAAGUGGAACUUGUGCUAGUCACCAGAGUCCAAUGGCAAAAGAUAAGUCAAGGUGUGUGGCAAUAGCCCAGGAUGAACCAAAGGCCUUGGCAUCUUCUGUGUCUGACCAAACUUUUAAGUGCUCCACAGUGCCUACUUCAGCUGCCUUCAUGGAUUCUGGAAUAGAUUGUUCUCAUCUAGGAAAAGAUCUGGAAAAGGAGAAAACAAGAUAAGAAAUCAAGCAUAGAACAGCAGAGAGAGAGAAGCCC
Molecule: long non-coding RNA, 463 nt
Organism: Monodelphis domestica (gray short-tailed opossum)
Lineage: Eukaryota; Metazoa; Chordata; Mammalia; Didelphimorphia; Didelphidae
Source: RefSeq, a predicted model, not a curated record